RNAcentral lists this ribosomal RNA (496 nucleotides) under uncultured bacterium. Its description in RNAcentral is "bacterial SSU rRNA". It matches the Rfam family "Bacterial small subunit ribosomal RNA", at positions 899 to 1397 of the family's 1533-position model. The record is from RNAcentral.
ACUCAAAUGAAUAGACGGGGGCCCGCACAAGCAGUGGAGUAUGUGGUUUAAUUCGAAGCAACGCGAAGAACCUUACCAGGGUUUGACAUCCCUUGACGGCUGUAGAGAUACAGAAUCCCUUCGGGGCAAGGAGACAGGUGGUGCAUGGUUGUCGUCAGCUCGUGUCGUGAGAUGUUGGGUUAAGUCCCGCAACGAGCGCAACCCUUGUUGUUAGUUGCCAGCACGUAAAGGUGGGCACUCUAGCGAAACUGCCGGCGACAAGUCGGAGGAAGGUGGGGACGACGUCAAAUCAUCAUGCCCCUUAUAUCCUGGGCUACACACGUACUACAAUGGCUGUAACAGAGGGAAGCGAAGGAGCAAUCCGGAGCAAAUCCCCAAAAGCAGCCUCAGUUCAGAUUGUGGGCUGCAACCCGCCCACAUGAAGUCGGAAUUGCUAGUAAUGGCAGGUCAGCAUACUGCCGUGAAUACGUUCCCGGGCCUUGCACACACCGCCCGU